Molecule: ribosomal RNA, 679 nt
Filed under: Pseudomonas putida
Lineage: Bacteria; Pseudomonadati; Pseudomonadota; Gammaproteobacteria; Pseudomonadales; Pseudomonadaceae
Description: bacterial SSU rRNA
Rfam family: Bacterial small subunit ribosomal RNA
Source: RNAcentral
GAGUCUUCCUUGAUUCAGCGGCGGACGGGUGAGUAAUGCCUAGGAAUCUGCCUGGUAGUGGGGGACAACGUUUCGAAAGGAACGCUAAUACCGCAUACGUCCUACGGGAGAAAGCAGGGGACCUUCGGGCCUUGCGCUAUCAGAUGAGCCUAGGUCGGAUUAGCUAGUUGGUGGGGUAAUGGCUCACCAAGGCGACGAUCCGUAACUGGUCUGAGAGGAUGAUCAGUCACACUGGAACUGAGACACGGUCCAGACUCCUACGGGAGGCAGCAGUGGGGAAUAUUGGACAAUGGGCGAAAGCCUGAUCCAGCCAUGCCGCGUGUGUGAAGAAGGUCUUCGGAUUGUAAAGCACUUUAAGUUGGGAGGAAGGGCAGUAAGCUAAUACCUUGCUGUUUUGACGUUACCGACAGAAUAAGCACCGGCUAACUCUGUGCCAGCAGCCGCGGUAAUACAGAGGGUGCAAGCGUUAAUCGGAAUUACUGGGCGUAAAGCGCGCGUAGGUGGUUUGUUAAGUUGGAUGUGAAAGCCCCGGGCUCAACCUGGGAACUGCAUCCAAAACUGGCAAGCUAGAGUACGGUAGAGGGUGGUGGAAUUUCCUGUGUAGCGGUGAAAUGCGUAGAUAUAGGAAGGAACACCAGUGGCGAAGGCGACCACCUGGACUGAUACUGACACUGAGGUG